AAGUUGGUAUUCUAACGCCAUGGAAUAGCUUCUGACUCUGGUGUUUGUUGCACAGGGGGAAGCCAAGAUGGGCUGGAGUUAGCCGUGUCUCCAGUUCUCUUGGCUUU
RNAcentral lists this non-coding RNA (107 nucleotides) under Chlamydia muridarum str. Nigg. RNAcentral describes it as "Chlamydia muridarum Nigg IhtA sRNA". It matches the Rfam family "IhtA sRNA". From Rfam's summary of the family: A histone like protein HctA and HctB play role in controlling the differentiation between the two cell types. The record is from Rfam by way of RNAcentral. Lineage: Bacteria; Pseudomonadati; Chlamydiota; Chlamydiia; Chlamydiales; Chlamydiaceae.